CGCGUAGGCGGCCCGGCAGGCCGGGGGUCGAAGCGGGGGGCUCAACCCCCCGAAGCCCCCGGAACCUCCGCGGCUUGGGUCCGGUAGGGGAGGGUGGAACACCCGGUGUAGCGGUGGAAUGCGCAGAUAUCGGGUGGAACACCGGUGGCGAAGGCGGCCCUCUGGGCCGUCACUGACGCUGAGGAGCGAAAGCGUGGGGAGCGAACA
Molecule: ribosomal RNA, 207 nt
Filed under: uncultured bacterium
Lineage: Bacteria
Description: partial 16S ribosomal RNA
Rfam family: Bacterial small subunit ribosomal RNA
Source: RNAcentral